CUCCUCUUGCUGAACUCCAUGAUUUUCUUCAUGGGGCCGCUUCUUGUCAUUCUUCUCCUUCUUUGUCUAUCGAUGAAUACUUUCUUCUUCUUAGGCCUAAGCAUAUUUUCGAGCUUGGGCUAGCAUCUCAUCAUAUGUAUAUAAAAAAUUUUUAAUGAGGGAGAAGAUUAGGUGGUUGCUUCUAAGUCCUCGUUUUAAGACAAACAUGACAACGGACUCAUUAGAAUUUCUAACUUCAAGUGUAGCUGCAUUGAAACAUGCCACAUAUUCAUGGAGAGAUUCACCCUCCCGCUAUUGAAUGGAGAAGACUAUCAGUGUUCUUCAGCUG
This 328-nucleotide long non-coding RNA is filed under the name Elaeis guineensis (African oil palm). RNAcentral's name for it is "long non-coding RNA (EGUI_LNC060021)". Lineage: Eukaryota; Viridiplantae; Streptophyta; Magnoliopsida; Arecales; Arecaceae. The record is from RNAcentral.